ACACUGGUGAUUCAGUGGUAAAAUUCUCACCUUCCAUGCAGGAAAGCCAGGUUCAAUUCUUGGUCAGUGCA
This 71-nucleotide transfer RNA is filed under the name Loxodonta africana (African savanna elephant). It matches the Rfam family "tRNA". Rfam says of the family: Transfer RNA (tRNA) molecules are approximately 80 nucleotides in length. Lineage: Eukaryota; Metazoa; Chordata; Mammalia; Proboscidea; Elephantidae. The record is from Rfam by way of RNAcentral.